CCUACGUGAGGCAGCAGUGGGGGAUAUUGCACAAUGGGGGGAACCCUGAUGCAGCGACGCCGCGUGGGUGAAGAAGCGCCUCGGCGCGUAAAGCCCUGUCAGCAGGGAAGAAAAUGACGGUACCUGAAGCAGAAGCCCCGGCUAACUACGUGCCAGCAGCCGCGGUAAGACGUAGGGGGCAAGCGUUAUCCGGAUUUACUGGGUGUAAAGGGGGCGCAGACGGCGGUGCAAGCCAGGAGUGAAAGCCCGGGGCCCAACCCCGGGACUGCUCUUGGAACUGCGUGGCUGGAGUGCAGGAGGGGCAGGCGGAAUUCCUGGUGUAGCGGUGACAUGCGUAGAUAUCAGGAGGAACACCGGUGGCGAAGGCGGCCUGCUGGACUGCAACUGACGUUGAGGCCCGAAAGCGUGGGGAGCAAACAGGAUUAGAUACCCCUGUAGUC
This 440-nucleotide ribosomal RNA is filed under the name uncultured bacterium. RNAcentral describes it as "partial 16S ribosomal RNA". It matches the Rfam family "Bacterial small subunit ribosomal RNA", at positions 338 to 795 of the family's 1533-position model. The record is from RNAcentral.